RNAcentral lists this ribosomal RNA (460 nucleotides) under uncultured bacterium. RNAcentral's name for it is "partial 16S ribosomal RNA". It matches the Rfam family "Bacterial small subunit ribosomal RNA", at positions 338 to 795 of the family's 1533-position model. The record is from RNAcentral.
CCUACGGGUGGCAGCAGUGAGGAAUAUUGGUCAAUGGACGAGAGUCUGAACCAGCCAAGUAGCGUGAAGGAUGACUGCCCUCUGGGUUGUAAACUUCUUUUAUAUGGGAAUAAAAUGUUCCACGUGUGGGCUUUUGUAUGUACCAUAUGAAUAAGGAUCGGCUAACUCCGUGCCAGCAGCCGCGGUAAUACGGAGGAUCCGAGGGUUAUCCGGAUUUAUUGGGUUUAAAGGGAGCGUAGGUGGAGUGUUAAGUCAGUUGUGAAAGUUUGCGGCUCAACCGUAAAAUUGCAGUUGAAACUGGCAGUCUUGAGUACAGUAGAGGUGGGCGGAAUUCGUGGUGUAGCGGUGAAAUGCUUAGAUAUCACGAAGAACUCCGAUUGCGAAGGGAGCUCACUGGACUGCAACUGACACUGAGGCUCGAAAGUGUGGGUAUCAAACAGGAUUAGAUACCCGUGUAGUC